This 418-nucleotide long non-coding RNA is filed under the name Lathyrus oleraceus (garden pea). RNAcentral describes it as "Pisum sativum (pea) long non-coding RNA (PSAT_LNC034995)". The record is from RNAcentral. Lineage: Eukaryota; Viridiplantae; Streptophyta; Magnoliopsida; Fabales; Fabaceae.
ACUCUUCGGGAAGCCAUUGAAGCUCAUCAUCAGAACUUCAAUCAGCCUGUGCUAAGCUCCAUCAUCAAUACACGCUUUACUUCUAAUUCACUGGCACCUCUUAAUUCUCUCAUACUAAAAUAAACUAAGAUACACAUAGAAGAAGAAGAAAUCGAAGAAGAAGGAGAAUUCUGAGACAAAGAGAAGAAGGAUUCAAAGACUUAGAGCAUCACACUUGUGUUCCGACGUCAUCUCCGGUGAGUACUUUUCAUUUCUCUUCAGCAUUUUGGUUCAUCCUAGUUGCCAUGAUGUAGAGUUUGGUCGGAGGAGUCAUAGCCCUAACCUCUAAGGCCUUGAUUCCGAAGUUUGAGAAUGUAAUUUCGAUUUUAGUUUCUAGGGUUCUUAAACACUUUGCUCUGAUUCAGAUUGUCAAGGAAGA